Non-coding RNA from Xyrichtys novacula (pearly razorfish), 935 nucleotides. NCBI's taxonomy places the organism in Eukaryota, Metazoa, Chordata, Actinopteri, Labriformes, Labridae. The record is from the annotation of a GenBank genome assembly.
AAGAAAUGAAGACAUGAGCAUGUACAGUUAUGUGGUAAAGUUUAAUACGCCAACACAGGAAUCGAUGAGGAUCGAAGAAAGCCUCUAGUGGACACAGGAGGAAUUGCAGCUUUUGCACUCUUUCUCUGUUGGUGUUUCUGGUCAGUGAAGGUCCAAAAAUAUGCACGAUCAGAGUUUCUCAUGGUUUUGAUUAAAUAAAUAUGAACAGAAAAGUCUCUGAAAAACAAAGUUAAAGAAUCAUCACAUCAGUCCGAUCAGACGUCUCCUCUCCUCUCUGCAGGAUCAGCGUUAAAGCUCACUGUGGUUCAGGUCUGGAAGGACUUGUAACCCUCCUCAUCCUGCACCUGCUCGCUCAUUAAAGCUGCAGCCGCUGUGUUUGUAUCUCAGCCUACGUCUCAGCCUCUCUGCAGAGACCACCGGCUCUUUCAUUACGCCAACACCGAGCUCUGCUGGACUCGGCGGUUCCUUUAAAGUGUCCCGCCCUCCAGAAAACCCCCCGAGUCCAACAUCUACCCAUGAAAAAUAUGAAAGAAGAGAGAAAGGCCGAGUCAGAGCGCUCUCAUGUGUGAUCAGAGUGGAGUUUGUUGAAUGUACAGCCCACUGACUGACCUCUCGCCUCCACAUAUAAACUGUGUGAUAGAGCCGAGGCUGUAGGCCAGAUUUGACCCUCAGUGAAGUCCAUGAUGAGCUCCAGAGGCUCCUUCAGAGACGUUCUGCAUAUUUAAAAGACUUUUUUACAGUGUUUCAGGUUUCCUGAGCGGAGAGCGGACUGAGAUCUGUUCAAGACUUUGAUUCUGUAGCAGCUGAACAGGCCGAAAGGAACCUGCAAAAACUAAGAUCAUCUGUAGAGGAGGACGAGUUCAUCAGAGAGGACGUUUUAGUGAGACAGUCUACCUGCAGACCUCCACUGAGAGGACUGUUUGAGGCCUUUCAAA